RNAcentral lists this ribosomal RNA (654 nucleotides) under uncultured euryarchaeote. RNAcentral describes it as "bacterial SSU rRNA". It matches the Rfam family "Archaeal small subunit ribosomal RNA", at positions 1 to 660 of the family's 1478-position model. Lineage: Archaea; Methanobacteriati; Methanobacteriota. The record is from RNAcentral.
UUCCGGUUGAUCCCGCCGGAGGCUACCGCUAUUGGAGUUCGAUUAAGCCAUGCGAGUCGAGAGUCUUAGGGACUCGGCGCACCGCUCAGUAACACGUGGGUAACCUGCCCUAUGCUUGGGAGUAACCUCGGGAAACUGAGAAUAAUGCCCAAUAGUCCACUACGCCUGGAACGGUGAGUGGAUCAAAGCCCCGGCGGCAUAGGAUGGGCCUGCGCCGUAUCAGGUUGUAGGGGGUGUAAAGUACCCUCUAGCCAUCAACGCGUACGGGUGUUGGGAGACAUUGCCCGGAGAUGGAUUCUGAGGCACGAAUCCAGACCCUACGGGGUGCAGCAGGCGCGAAAACUUGGCAAUGCGAGCAAUCGUGACCAGGGAACUCCAAGUGCGUAGGGUAAGACCUACGCUUUUCUUGACUCUACAAAGGUCUUGGAAUAAGGGGUGGGUAAGGACGGUGCCAGCCGCCGCGGUAAUACCGGCGCCUCAAGUGGUAGUCGCUUUUAUUGGGCCUAAAACGUCCGUAGCCGGUCUGGUGCAUUCGUGGGUAAAUCAACCCGCUCAACGGGUUGAAUUCUGCGAGCACGGCCAGACUUGGGACCGGGAGAGGUGUGGGGUACUUUCGGGGUAGGGGUAAAAUCCUGUCAUCCCGAAAGACACUGU